This 562-nucleotide ribosomal RNA is filed under the name Bacillus sp. (in: firmicutes). RNAcentral's name for it is "bacterial SSU rRNA". It matches the Rfam family "Bacterial small subunit ribosomal RNA", at positions 219 to 772 of the family's 1533-position model. The record is from RNAcentral. Lineage: Bacteria; Bacillati; Bacillota; Bacilli; Caryophanales; Bacillaceae.
UUACAGAUGGACCCGCGGCGCAUUAGCUAGUUGGUGAGGUAACGGCUCACCAAGGCAACGAUGCGUAGCCGACCUGAGAGGGUGAUCGGCCACACUGGGACUGAGACACGGCCCAGACUCCUACGGGAGGCAGCAGUAGGGAAUCUUCCGCAAUGGACGAAAGUCUGACGGAGCAACGCCGCGUGAGUGAUGAAGGUUUUCGGAUCGUAAAACUCUGUUGUUAGGGAAGAACAAGUACCGUUCGAAUAGGGCGGUACCUUGACGGUACCUAACCAGAAAGCCACGGCUAACUACGUGCCAGCAGCCGCGGUAAUACGUAGGUGGCAAGCGUUGUCCGGAAUUAUUGGGCGUAAAGCGCGCGCAGGCGGUUUCUUAAGUCUGAUGUGAAAGCCCCCGGCUCAACCGGGGAGGGUCAUUGGAAACUGGGGAACUUGAGUGCAGAAGAGGAGAGUGGAAUUCCACGUGUAGCGGUGAAAUGCGUAGAGAUGUGGAGGAACACCAGUGGCGAAGGCGACUCUCUGGUCUGUAACUGACGCUGAGGCGCGAAAGCGUGGGGAGCGAA